This 2903-nucleotide ribosomal RNA is filed under the name Escherichia coli KTE2. RNAcentral describes it as "bacterial LSU rRNA". It matches the Rfam family "Bacterial large subunit ribosomal RNA". Lineage: Bacteria; Pseudomonadati; Pseudomonadota; Gammaproteobacteria; Enterobacterales; Enterobacteriaceae. The record is from RNAcentral.
UUAAGCGACUAAGCGUACACGGUGGAUGCCCUGGCAGUCAGAGGCGAUGAAGGACGUGCUAAUCUGCGAUAAGCGUCGGUAAGGUGAUAUGAACCGUUAUAACCGGCGAUUUCCGAAUGGGGAAACCCAGUGUGAUUCGUCACACUAUCAUUAACUGAAUUCAUAGGUUAAUGAGGCGAACCGGGGGAACUGAAACAUCUAAGUACCCCGAGGAAAAGAAAUCAACCGAGAUUCCCCCAGUAGCGGCGAGCGAACGGGGAGGAGCCCAGAGCCUGAAUCAGUGUGUGUGUUAGUGGAAGCGUCUGGAAAGGCGCGCGAUACAGGGUGACAGCCCCGUACACAAAAAUGCACAUACUGUGAGCUCGAUGAGUAGGGCGGGACACGUGGUAUCCUGUCUGAAUAUGGGGGGACCAUCCUCCAAGGCUAAAUACUCCUGACUGACCGAUAGUGAACCAGUACCGUGAGGGAAAGGCGAAAAGAACCCCGGCGAGGGGAGUGAAAAAGAACCUGAAACCGUGUACGUACAAGCAGUGGGAGCCUCUUAAUGGGGUGACUGCGUACCUUUUGUAUAAUGGGUCAGCGACUUAUAUUCUGUAGCAAGGUUAACCGAAUAGGGGAGCCGAAGGGAAACCGAGUCUUAACUGGGCGUUAAGUUGCAGGGUAUAGACCCGAAACCCGGUGAUCUAGCCAUGGGCAGGUUGAAGGUUGGGUAACACUAACUGGAGGACCGAACCGACUAAUGUUGAAAAAUUAGCGGAUGACUUGUGGCUGGGGGUGAAAGGCCAAUCAAACCGGGAGAUAGCUGGUUCUCCCCGAAAGCUAUUUAGGUAGCGCCUCGUGAACUCAUCUCCGGGGGUAGAGCACUGUUUCGGCAAGGGGGUCAUCCCGACUUACCAACCCGAUGCAAACUGCGAAUACCGGAGAAUGUUAUCACGGGAGACACACGGCGGGUGCUAACGUCCGUCGUGAAGAGGGAAACAACCCAGACCGCCAGCUAAGGUCCCAAAGUCAUGGUUAAGUGGGAAACGAUGUGGGAAGGCCCAGACAGCCAGGAUGUUGGCUUAGAAGCAGCCAUCAUUUAAAGAAAGCGUAAUAGCUCACUGGUCGAGUCGGCCUGCGCGGAAGAUGUAACGGGGCUAAACCAUGCACCGAAGCUGCGGCAGCGACGCUUAUGCGUUGUUGGGUAGGGGAGCGUUCUGUAAGCCUGCGAAGGUGUACUGUGAGGUAUGCUGGAGGUAUCAGAAGUGCGAAUGCUGACAUAAGUAACGAUAAAGCGGGUGAAAAGCCCGCUCGCCGGAAGACCAAGGGUUCCUGUCCAACGUUAAUCGGGGCAGGGUGAGUCGACCCCUAAGGCGAGGCCGAAAGGCGUAGUCGAUGGGAAACAGGUUAAUAUUCCUGUACUUGGUGUUACUGCGAAGGGGGGACGGAGAAGGCUAUGUUGGCCGGGCGACGGUUGUCCCGGUUUAAGCGUGUAGGCUGGUUUUCCAGGCAAAUCCGGAAAAUCAAGGCUGAGGCGUGAUGACGAGGCACUACGGUGCUGAAGCAACAAAUGCCCUGCUUCCAGGAAAAGCCUCUAAGCAUCAGGUAACAUCAAAUCGUACCCCAAACCGACACAGGUGGUCAGGUAGAGAAUACCAAGGCGCUUGAGAGAACUCGGGUGAAGGAACUAGGCAAAAUGGUGCCGUAACUUCGGGAGAAGGCACGCUGAUACGUAGGUGAAGCCCCUUGCUCGUGGAGCUGAAAUCAGUCGAAGAUACCAGCUGGCUGCAACUGUUUAUUAAAAACACAGCACUGUGCAAACACGAAAGUGGACGUAUACGGUGUGACGCCUGCCCGGUGCCGGAAGGUUAAUUGAUGGGGUUAGCGGUAACGCGAAGCUCUUGAUCGAAGCCCCGGUAAACGGCGGCCGUAACUAUAACGGUCCUAAGGUAGCGAAAUUCCUUGUCGGGUAAGUUCCGACCUGCACGAAUGGCGUAAUGAUGGCCAGGCUGUCUCCACCCGAGACUCAGUGAAAUUGAACUCGCUGUGAAGAUGCAGUGUACCCGCGGCAAGACGGAAAGACCCCGUGAACCUUUACUAUAGCUUGACACUGAACAUUGAGCCUUGAUGUGUAGGAUAGGUGGGAGGCUUUGAAGUGUGGACGCCAGUCUGCAUGGAGCCGACCUUGAAAUACCACCCUUUAAUGUUUGAUGUUCUAACGUUGGCCCCUAAUCGGGGUUGCGGACAGUGUCUGGUGGGUAGUUUGACUGGGGCGGUCUCCUCCUAAAGAGUAACGGAGGAGCACGAAGGUUGGCUAAUCCUGGUCGGACAUCAGGAGGUUAGUGCAAUGGCAUAAGCCAGCUUGACUGCGAGCGUGACGGCGCGAGCAGGUGCGAAAGCAGGUCAUAGUGAUCCGGUGGUUCUGAAUGGAAGGGCCAUCGCUCAACGGAUAAAAGGUACUCCGGGGAUAACAGGCUGAUACCGCCCAAGAGUUCAUAUCGACGGCGGUGUUUGGCACCUCGAUGUCGGCUCAUCACAUCCUGGGGCUGAAGUAGGUCCCAAGGGUAUGGCUGUUCGCCAUUUAAAGUGGUACGCGAGCUGGGUUUAGAACGUCGUGAGACAGUUCGGUCCCUAUCUGCCGUGGGCGCUGGAGAACUGAGGGGGGCUGCUCCUAGUACGAGAGGACCGGAGUGGACGCAUCACUGGUGUUCGGGUUGUCAUGCCAAUGGCACUGCCCGGUAGCUAAAUGCGGAAGAGAUAAGUGCUGAAAGCAUCUAAGCACGAAACUUGCCCCGAGAUGAGUUCUCCCUGACUCCCUGAGAGUCCUGAAGGAACGUUGAAGACGACGACGUUGAUAGGCCGGGUGUGUAAGCGCAGCGAUGCGUUGAGCUAACCGGUACUAAUGAACCGUGAGGCUUAACCUU